GUGGGGAAUCUUCCGCAAUGGGCGAAAGCCUGACGGAGCAACGCCGCGUGAGUGAAGAAGGGUUUCGGCUCGUAAAGCUCUGUUGUCGGGGACGAAUGUGCAGUAUUUGAAUAAAGUAGUGCAAUGACGGUACCUGACGAGGAAGCCACGGCUAACUACGUGCCAGCAGCCGCGGUAAUACGUAGGUGGCAAGCGUUGUCCGGAAUUAUUGGGCGUAAAGGGAGCGCAGGCGGGAAGGUAAGUCGGUCUUAAAAGUGCGGGGCUCAACCCCGUGAUGGGAUCGAAACUAUCUUUCUUGAGUGCAGGAGAGGAAAGUGGAAGUCCUAGUGUAGCGGUGAAAUGCGUAGAUAUUAGGAGGAACACCAGUGGCGAAGGCGACUUUCUGGACUGUAACUGACGCUGAGGCUCGAAAGCCAGGGGAGCAAACGGGAUUAGAUACCCUUGUAGUCC
RNAcentral lists this ribosomal RNA (450 nucleotides) under uncultured bacterium. RNAcentral's name for it is "partial 16S ribosomal RNA". It matches the Rfam family "Bacterial small subunit ribosomal RNA", at positions 354 to 796 of the family's 1533-position model. The record is from RNAcentral.